GCCUUGUUUAUGCUCAGCCAGCGCUGGCUGCAAGCUUUCGCCUCGCACACACAGAGACAGGACACACGCGCACAGAUACUUACAGAGGCGCGCACACACACACUGAUGCAUGUGCGUGUGUGUAAGUGUGUGUGUGUGGGACAAUUGGCUCAGCUGCGAAUUGGGAGCAGAAUGCCGACUGAUGCUGCUGCCGCUGCUGUGAAUCUCUGGUUAUUUCACAUUUUUCGUAGUACGGAGCACGGAAGCAGACGUUCCAAGCCUUGAGCUAACGCACGUACAUCACGACGCUUCGACGACGACAACAACAACAACAACAACAACAACAACUGUCAUAGCUACAACGACAACAACAAGUUACAUGGAACUUCAGCAGGGACUUGGCCAAUAUGUUGUGCGAAUGUGAAUCGAUGAGCCUCAACAUGCUCCGCUGGAUCUCUCUCCCACUCGCGCACACAACUACACAAAAAUAACUAAUAGAAAAACAACAUGAGAAUAACAAAGAAAUAAAUAACAAAUAUUCAGAAAAUACAAAAAUAAAAUAAAAGCGCUUAUGAAAUCAAAUGAAGACUGAUAUGUAUGAAAUGUGUAACAAGUGAUAUUCAAACUUGAGCCGAAUCGUGGAUUAGUGCAGACAAAUGUUUUAUGCAAAUCGCGUUUGCCUCAAAACGCCCAACAAUAGCAAUAACAACAACCUCGACAACAACAGCAACCUCAGCAACAACAACCACAACCACAACAACAACAACAACAGCAGCAGCAAGUUGGCGUGCCAGGGUAAACCGAUGUACAUAUGUAUGUAUGGCAGAGUACAUAUGUAUGUACAUACGGUCCUGUGAAUGUGACACCUACGCAACGCGAAGCGCAUUAAAGUGCGAACACAGCAGCAGCAGCAGCAGCAGCAGCAGCAGCGGCAGCAGCAGCAGCCGCCAACACAGCAGCCCAACUCCAAUCAGUAGCGCGUCACACGCACGCGCCAAAAACCGCUAAAACAAAAAGAGACAACAACAGCAGCAGCAGCAGCAGCAGCAGCAAG
Molecule: small RNA, 1033 nt
Filed under: Drosophila mojavensis
Lineage: Eukaryota; Metazoa; Arthropoda; Insecta; Diptera; Drosophilidae
Description: GI26631
Source: RNAcentral